AAGACUGCGGGUCUGCGGUUUUACUCAUCAUGUCCAAUACUACUAGGUAAGAAGAAAGUAAAAGAAUCAAGUUGAUAUGACUAACUUUAUUUCAUUAUGAUGAUUACACUUUUCUUAUCACUGCAAAAGAAUCUAGCUCAAAUUCCAAUGCUCUAACUUUGCUAUCAUGAGAAUUGAAUACCUUUGAGCACGACCAUGGUUGAAGUUCUAUAAAAUUAAUGUGCAAAAGGCCAAUCUCCAAUAUAACAUCUAUCAAGUGUCUAGGGUCAUAUCACCAAACACCAAGAGGUAUGAUAUAAAGAGUCUAUAAUGUGGUUUUGAAACUACUUCAACGUGACGAUGCUUCUAUUGAAUUCCUUGAAUUAAUAGUCUUUGUCUUCUUGAUGGUAUUACGUAAAUUAUCUUGGACGGAAAAUGGCUAAGUUUAGGGAACUGUGAGAGAUGGAAAAAGAAAAUUAAAGCAUCUUGACAUGUUUUGGAAGAGGUAAUUGUACCGACUUUUGGCAGAUGAUAUUCAGAAAUUCUGAACCAUCUUAGAGGAUUCCUAAGAAAAGGAAGAUUUAUUCAGUGAAUGAAGGAAAUGCUAAGAACUGGGAUGGUCCCACAUCCAAAUUGUCAGGUGUAUAUUCCGUGAUCUGAGCUUUAGAAGAGGAAGCAUUAACCGCGGUUGAUACUGGAAUAAGUUCUACUCCAAGAGUUCUACUGAUCUUAUUGUCUCCACCUACAACAUAGUCAACUAUCAGCAUGAAUACGUGCUUCAUAGCUUCCUAUUAAAAAAAAUUAACAGCUGAUCACCUACGCCGAAAGCAGUAGUAGCAAAUGCAUUUGCUCAUAGAAUAGAUCGACACAAAGCUUAUUUAAAGCUUUAAUUCAUUGACUCAUAUGUUGAUUUAGAUCUUGAGUCAAAUUUACAUUGUGGCAUUAAAGUUGUACUAAUUUCAAGGGAGUGAUAUAUCAAUGCAA
Long non-coding RNA from Lycium barbarum (goji berry), 963 nucleotides. RefSeq lists it as uncharacterized. Lineage: Eukaryota; Viridiplantae; Streptophyta; Magnoliopsida; Solanales; Solanaceae. The record is from RefSeq and is a predicted model, not a curated record. The transcript has 4 exons.